CCUAUUACUGAAUGUGUGGUCGCGGCCGCCGGCUUGCCGGUCGGUAGAGGUUGUCUUCGUAAACCCUCUCACGCGCCACAUGUCCACUAUCCUUUCUCUACGAGCACCAUUUGUUCUCCUUCGGCGGGGUAACCCGCCGCUGGAACUAAUGAAACUCUUUGCAUCUAGCAUUACCCGUUCCGAUAACCACAAUCGUUA
RNAcentral lists this unclassified non-coding RNA (198 nucleotides) under uncultured fungus. RNAcentral's name for it is "sequence contains ITS1, 5.8S rRNA gene". Lineage: Eukaryota; Fungi. The record is from RNAcentral.